GGUAUUUUAACCGUGCGAAGGUAGCGUAAUCACUUGUCUCUUAAAUGGGGACCUGUAUGAAUGGCAUAACGAGGGCUUAACUGUCUCCUUUUUCAGGUCAAUGAAAUUGAUCUCCCCGUGCAGAAGCGGGGAUAAACACAUAAGACGAGAAGACCCUAUGGAGCUUUAGACACUAAGAUAGAUCAUGUUAAACACUCCCUGACAAAGGAAAUAAACCAAAUGAUCCCCUUUCCCAAUGUCUUCGGUUGGGGCGACCACGGAGAAACACAGAACCCCCGUGCAGAACGAAAGCACUGCUUUCACAACUAAGAGCUCCCGCUCUAAUAAACAGAAAUUCUGACUACAUGAUCCGGCACCGCCGAUCAACGAACCAAGUUACCCUAGGGAUAACAGCGCAAUCCUCUUCUAGAGUCCAUAUCGACAAGAGGGUUUACGACCUCGAUGUUGGAUCAGGACAUCCUAAUGGUGCAGCCGCUAUUAAGGGUUCGUUUGUU
RNAcentral lists this ribosomal RNA (494 nucleotides) under Glaucosoma hebraicum (Westralian jewfish). RNAcentral describes it as "partial 16S ribosomal RNA". It matches the Rfam family "Bacterial large subunit ribosomal RNA", at positions 1935 to 2581 of the family's 2925-position model. The record is from RNAcentral. Lineage: Eukaryota; Metazoa; Chordata; Actinopteri; Acropomatiformes; Glaucosomatidae.